GCCCCUAUAGCUCAGUCGGUUAGAGCAGUGGACUCAUAAUCCAUCGGUCGCGGGUUCAAGUCCUGCUGGGGGCA
This 74-nucleotide transfer RNA is filed under the name Actinomyces sp. Its description in RNAcentral is "tRNA-Met". It matches the Rfam family "tRNA". Rfam says of the family: Transfer RNA (tRNA) molecules are approximately 80 nucleotides in length. Their secondary structure includes four short double-helical elements and three loops (D, anti-codon, and T loops). RNAcentral also lists the same sequence under 4 other names. The record is from RNAcentral. Lineage: Bacteria; Bacillati; Actinomycetota; Actinomycetes; Actinomycetales; Actinomycetaceae.